RNAcentral lists this ribosomal RNA (433 nucleotides) under uncultured bacterium. RNAcentral describes it as "partial 16S ribosomal RNA". It matches the Rfam family "Bacterial small subunit ribosomal RNA", at positions 29 to 507 of the family's 1533-position model. The record is from RNAcentral.
AACGAACGCUGGCGGCAUGCCUAACACAUGCAAGUCGAACGAGACCUUCGGGUCUAUUGGCGCACGGGUGCGUAACGCGUGGGAACCUGCCCUUAGGUUCGGAAUAACUCUCCGAAAGGGGUGCUAAUACCGGAUAAUGUCUUCGGACCAAAGAUUUAUCGCCUUUGGAUGGGCCCGCGUUGGAUUAGCUCGUUGGUAGGGUAAAAGCCUACCAAGGCGACGAUCCAUAGCUGGUCUGAGAGGAUGAUCAGCCACACUGGGACUGAGACACGGCCCAGACUCCUACGGGAGGCAGCAGUGGGGAAUAUUGGACAAUGGGCGAAAGCCUGAUCCAGCAAUGCCGCGUGAGUGAUGAAGGCCUUAGGGUUGUAAAGCUCUUUUACCCGGGAUGAUAAUGACAGUACCGGGAGAAUAAGCUCCGGCUAACUCCGUG